RNAcentral lists this unclassified non-coding RNA (3399 nucleotides) under Pocillopora damicornis (cauliflower coral). RNAcentral describes it as "ubiquitin conjugation factor E4 B-like, transcript variant X2". Lineage: Eukaryota; Metazoa; Cnidaria; Anthozoa; Scleractinia; Pocilloporidae. The record is from RNAcentral.
ACACUAGUCGCUGGCUCACUGUUAGAAAGUCUUUCGCCGAUUGGCGACGAUAUUCAGUUAAAGUCUGGUAGAAAAUUGGUGUAAAAUGUCUUUAGCUACAUAUGCGAUAUUUUUGUAAAUGAGUGAACUACCACCCGACGAGGUUAGGCGUCGCCGCCUGGCUAGGUUGAACCAAGGUACCAUGUCAUCAUCCCAUCCUCCAUCUGACAGUCACUCUAUUCCUGUAAGGACAAGCUUAAAACCCUUGGCAGAAGGUUCUGCAGUGAGCACUCAGGACAGUGGUUAUGGCUCUUUAUCACAAUCUUUCGAGUUUGAUGAACAAUCACAGGACACUGGUGAUAAAUGUGGCAAGCGCACCUCCCCAACUUGUUCUUCUUCUCCUUCAGAGAAUUUUAAAUUCAAGAGGACGAGAGAUGGAUUUGACAAAGAUGACACUUCUCAUGUUAAGAUGAGUAGUGUGACUGAUGAACAUAUUGUAAAAAGUAUUUGCAGUAUAUUUAAAGUUUCCUUUAAGAGCUCAGAGGUUUCCUGUGACACAGUUUACUUACCAACACUAGCUGAGGAUCUUAGUCAAGUUGAUCUAAGCUCAGGAACUGUUUGUAAUGUCAUAAACCAAGUGAUCAUGGAGCGUCUAACCCAGUUUCGUGCACAUCAAGAUGGAAUGAGUGUUAGUCCUACACUUACAAUUGCGCAGGAAACCUCGCAAAUGGCUAUUGAUGAUAACUUAACUGACUGCAGGUCAACUGAAUGUAUCAGUUUAUUAGGGGAGGGCAGAGCCAAUCCUUCACCACCAAACUGUGUAAAAGAGUCAACCACUGUGUAUCAGUCCAAGCUGCUUAAAUAUUUGGUUAAUAGCUAUAAUUGCUCACUGAAUGAAGAAAAAAACUAUCCCAAGAGAUCCCAGGAGGAAAGAUGGAUAACGUUGUUAACUCAGGCUCGUCGCCAGUGUGUGUUGUUUUCAGUGCUUAUUCUUCAAGGAUGUUUUUCUCUGGACAGGUCAGUCCUUCAGAGAUCACCCUUGGUACACUUAUUUAUCAAUGAAGAAUGUGACAUUCCUUUCACUUUCCUUGUUGAACUUGUCACAACAGUAGCAAGUGACUCACAUUUAUGUAUGAAGAUUUUUAAGCCAGUGCUGUUGAGCUUAAAUCAAGAAAUGCAAAAUUGUCAUCUUGCAGCUGAAGGAUUUAAAGCUCCCCUGUUGGCACUGUCAAAACUGUGCGAUAUCCGCCUGGGAACAACUUCAGUGAGACCUAUUUGUAACUUGAUGGUUGCGUUAUCCAACAUGUGGAUCCCAUCACCCUUAUCAAAAGCUGAAGGAAAAGAAAUUGAGAGACUGUCUCUCAUUGGACCAUUUCUCAGUCUGUCAGUAUUUUCUGAAGAAUGUCCGCAGAUUGUUGAUCGUUACUUUUCCGAGUCAUCAGAAAAUGUUAAGCUGGUGAAUGUGACUUUGAGAAGUGCCCUUCGCAUUGUUAGGACAGAGGUAUUCAAGAUAAUUCAUAGUAUGCUUGUGUCUACGGAGAGUCGGGAUGCUUGUUUACAAUUCAUUGCUUCAGUCUUAGCAAGAAAUUACCGCAAGGCACAGCUACAGGUUGAUGAUAGACAAGUUGCUUCCGAUGGAUUUAUGUUAAACUUCAUGACUGUAUUGCAACAACUGUGUGCAAAGGUUAAAAUUGAGAAGGUUGAUAGUUUGUAUCUCCAUCAUCCCAAAUCAAGAGUGAACAUCUCACAAGAGUCCAGGUUGAAACUUACUUCACAGCAAGUUAAAGAAUGGAAACAGGAACUAGAUAGUAAAAAUGCGUGGUUGGAACCAAAAUUUCCCACUGAGUGUUUCUUUAUGGCCAUUCAAGCCCAUCAUUUAGCAAUUUUACCGGCUUGUAGAAGACAUUCUCGACGACAAAAAGCUCACCGGGAGUUAACACGCAUGAUUGAACAUCUGGAAUCCCAUGAAAGCGAGUGGAUAGAUACUCCGAUGGCCUCUAGAAACAAGGGUCUGUUAAAGAAAUGGAGAGAGCAGAUCAAGAAACUAGAAAAUGGUAAGGCUUGCUCGGAUGUCGUUUUACUUGAUGAUGAACUUCUGCGUGGCUGUUUAAAGUUCUAUGGGUUUUUGGCUACAUGGAUCUUGAGACUAGUGGAUCCUAACAAAAAAGGGAUCAGUAUCCCUUUGCCAGAAAAGAUUGCCAUGGAGCUUGCGUCCCUUCCGGACUAUUUUGUCGGUGAUGUGGCUGAGUUUUUGCUCUUUGUCAACAUGCAUGCACACCACGUGCUGGAGGAUCCUGCCAUGAAUGACAUUGUCACCUUUUUUGUUGUAUUUGUUUGUUCACCAAACUACAUAUCAAAUCCUUAUCUUGUGGCGAAAAUUGUCGAGGUAUUGUUUGUGAUGAAUCCCAGCAUUCAACCAGCAGCCUCAAAGAUCCAUGAGAUGAUUGUCUCUCAUCCAUUGGCGUUGGACCAUUUAGCCCCAGCACUUAUGAAUUUUUAUACAGAUGUAGAAACGACUGGCAGCUCAAAUGAGUUUUAUGAUAAGUUUAGUAUAAGAUAUCACAUUUCCAUAAUCAUGAAAAGUUUAUGGCAAGAUGUGGGCCACAGGGGAGCCAUCAUGAAGCAAAGCAGGACGGUUCAGUUUGUUCGCUUUGUAAACAUGUUGAUUAAUGACACAACAUUUCUGCUGGAUGAAUCCUUGGAUUCAUUAAAAAGCAUCAAUGAAACUCAGCAGAUGAUGGCCAAUGUAGCAGACUGGGAGGCAUUACCAAGGGACAUGCGUACCUCUCGUCUUCGACAACUUUCCACUGACGAGCGGCAGUGCCGGUCUUAUCUUACCCUUGCCUCGGAGACAUUAGAUAUGAUGCUUUACCUCACUAAACAUGUACAGGCGCCUUUUCUUAGGCCGGAAUUGAUUGAUCGAAUAGCUGCUAUGUUGAAUUUUAACCUACAACAACUUUGUGGACCGAAGUGCAGGAAUUUAAAGGUUAAAAACCCAGAAAAAUAUGGAUUUGAACCCAAGACUCUUCUGGAUAGAUUAACACAGAUUUAUGUGAAUCUAGACUCGGAAGAAUUUGCAAAAGCUGUUGCUGGUGACCAGCGAUCAUAUAGGAGAGAAUUAUUUUCCGACGCCGCGAAACAUCUUCACAAAACCUUGCUGAAGACAGGCAGAGAUUUACCGGUUUAAAGAAUUUGCCUCAAAGGUAGAAAUCAAAGCUGCCGAAAACGCUGCUCGCAAUGAGGACUAUGAUGAUGCACCGGAUGAGUUUAAAGAUCCUCUCAUGAUGACGCUCAUGCUUGAGCCUGUGAUCCUACCAACUAGUGGUAAAAUUAUGGAUAGGGCAGUUAUCACGCGCCAUUUAUUAAACUCUGACACGGAUCCUUUUAAUCGACAACCACUUACAACUGACAUGCUACAGC